UCCGAUGAUGGCAUGAUAUCUUUGAGACCUGAUCGUUUGUUUCGUUUGAUGACAACUGCAAGCAAAAUCGCUGAGGAC
Molecule: small nucleolar RNA, 78 nt
Filed under: Theobroma cacao (cacao)
Lineage: Eukaryota; Viridiplantae; Streptophyta; Magnoliopsida; Malvales; Malvaceae
Description: Small nucleolar RNA R66
Rfam family: Small nucleolar RNA R66
About the family: snoR66 is a C/D box small nucleolar RNA, which acts as a methylation guide for 18S ribosomal RNA in plants. snoR66 has been alternatively named snoZ269 in rice.
Source: Rfam by way of RNAcentral